ACGGCUCAGUAACACGUGGCUAACCUGCCCUCAGGAUAGGGACAACCCCGGGAAACUGGGGCUAAUCCCCAAUAGGUGAAGUGCUCUGGAAUGAGCCUUCGCCAGAAAGGACGCUUGCGCUAUGCUCGCAGGCUUUGCCUGAGGAUGGGGCCGCGACCGAUCAGGUUGUUGGUGAGGUAAUGGCUCACCAAGCCUUUAACCGGUGCGGGCCGUGAGAGCGGGAGUCCGGAGAUGGGCACUGAGACAAAGGCCCAGGCCCUACGGGGCGCAGCAGUCGCGCAAACUUUGCAAUACACGGAAGUGUGACAGGGCUAUCCCGAGUGCCGUCCGCUGAGGAUGGCUUUUACCUAGUCUAGAACGCUGGGGGAAUAAGGAGAGGGCAAGUCUGGUGUCAGCCGCCGCGGUAAUACCAGCUCUCCGAGUGGUGUGGAUGUUUAUUGGGCCUAAAGCAUCCGUAGCUGGCCAAGUUAGUCCCCUGUUAAACCCACCGAAUUAAUCGUUGGUUUGCGGGGGAUACUGCUCGGCUAGGGGACGAGAGAGGCAGACGGUAUUUUCGGGGUAGGGGUGAAAUGCUAUAAUCCCGGGAAGACCACCAGUGGCGAAGGCUGUCUGCUAGAACGCGCCCGACGGUGAGGGAUGAAAGCUGGGGGAGCGAACCGGAUUAGAUACCCGGGUAGUCCCAGCUGUAAACGAUGCAGGCUAGGUGUUUGGACGGCCACGUGCCGUUCUAGUGCCGCAGGGAAGCUGUUAAGCCUGCCGCCUGGGGAGUACGGUCGCAAGAUUGAAACUUAAAGGAAUUGGCGGGGGAGCAC
This 812-nucleotide ribosomal RNA is filed under the name uncultured archaeon. RNAcentral describes it as "bacterial SSU rRNA". It matches the Rfam family "Archaeal small subunit ribosomal RNA", at positions 85 to 879 of the family's 1478-position model. The record is from RNAcentral.